UGGUGGAGUGAUUUGUCUGGUUAAUUCCGUUAACGAACGAGACCUCAGCCUACUAAUUAGUUUGCUUAAUCUUUUGAUUGUGUAAACUUCUUAGAGGGACUAUCGGAUAUUCAGCCGAUGGAAGUAUGAGGCAAUAACA
RNAcentral lists this ribosomal RNA (139 nucleotides) under uncultured eukaryote. RNAcentral's name for it is "partial 18S ribosomal RNA". It matches the Rfam family "Eukaryotic small subunit ribosomal RNA", at positions 1299 to 1458 of the family's 1831-position model. The record is from RNAcentral.